Molecule: long non-coding RNA, 1781 nt
Organism: Agrilus planipennis (emerald ash borer)
Lineage: Eukaryota; Metazoa; Arthropoda; Insecta; Coleoptera; Buprestidae
Exons: 6
Source: RefSeq, a predicted model, not a curated record
GAUAAAAAAAAGCUAGGCCACGCCACGCCGUCACGCCUCAACAACAGUGAUUCAGCUUUCUGACAUUCCGUUAUCGGUCGUCGUCAGAUAUGAGCGGCAUAUCUACGUGUUGUCUAAAAGAUUUGUUCGUAUUUACGUACAAAAAGUGUUACAGAAUAUAGAAAGUGCCAUUAUAGGAUUACAAUGAAUAUACUUUAGAAAAAUAGUUGUGGUCAGGCGAUGGAACUUGCAUGAAGUAAAACCUUCACAUAAUUUCAAAUUAUGAGACGGGGGUGAAACUAGCUACAGGAUUGGUUAAAUUGUAAAAUAUUUGCCGAGAACCGUCGCAGAUACCUUCUGAGUUGGGCUUUCGCGUCACCGGUGCGUCAUGUUGUAGCCAUCGCAAGAUCCUGAAUGCCUGAUCCGCGUGGUUAUUGUCAGUAUGUUGCCAGUCUAUCGCGGCGUUAUAUCCUGACCGGUUACUAAAACUCUGGAAGCCAUCCGUUAAGAAGCACUGGUCUUUCACUCCAGAUAAUAGCAGGACCUGAUGGAUGGGCAAAAGUGCCUUUUUCUUUUUCACUUGUAAUGCAAGCAGUACGCUGUUGCCAUAGGAGGACCGAAUGAAAAAGUGCCUGUAGGUAACGAUUUUCAUUAAAGAUAUUAGAUGUGAUGUUGAAUUAUCUUCCUUCGACAUUUGUAACUUAUCUUUUAGGAAUGUCAACCAUUGUGAUAGUAGAAAUCAAUGAUAACGUUGUUUUUUUUCAGUUUUCAACAAUGAAUAUUAUAUUUUAACACUAGUAUGAAAAACUUUAAUUACAAAAAUUUAAUUUUUAAGCAAAGGAGACUUAUAAUUCUCGCUGUAACUCAUCCAUUGUGUAUCCAAUUGUAAGUUUUUGGCAAAUGUAAUUUUACUUUAGGUGCCUUUUCGUUUUAUUUUAUUUCUUGUGAAUUUAAUAGCGCAGUAAUUCUAUUUUUUUUGUGCAUUUCCACAGAUUGGUCGAAGAAUAAAACAAUUGUCUGCACUGAUAUCGUUAUUCAUGGACUUCGUUUGGUUUUUAUUCGUCUUCAGUUAAUCUUCGAUCACGAGUAAAAGCAUUUUCGAUUCCACCGAAACAACACUGAUCGUGAGCUACGUUUCUUCCUGCUCUGUUGGCUGAUUCAUCUUUGAAGCAUACAUUCUCCGCAAUUACUUAAGAUUAUCCAACAAAUGAGAGAGAAUAAAGUUCAACUUGGUAGUGCUCACACAACCAUUGUCUAUAUGGAUAUCGUCUUUCCUGGACUAUAUUCCUGAUUUUCUGUUUUUAUCGUCACCUUACAAGACGAGGAAAAGCAACUGGCCGUUCAUUCCAGAUAAUGGCGGGACCUGAUGGAUGGGCAAAAGUGCCUUUUUCUCUUUCCACUGGUAGUGCAAGCAGUAAUUGUUGCCAAAGAAGGACUUAAUGAAAAAGUAUCGAUUAUCCAACAAAUGAGAAAGAAUAAAGUUCAACUUGGUGGUAUUCACAUGGAUAUCGUCUUUCCUGGACUAUAUUCUUGAUUUCCUAUUUUCAUCGUCACCUUGCAACAUUAUACACGUAAUUGUCAACCGACGAGGGAAAGCAACUGGAGAUAUUCCACUGAAACAACAAAUUUUCGGCUAUGUGGUAGUCCUCCUGGAUUUUGUUUGCUUACAGUCUACAGUUAAUUAAGAUCGACGAUGGAGAAGACAAAUAAGAUGCGUAGUUAGUUCAUUAUCUUGCAUGCUCUAUCUAAUAGAAUUAAUUCUUGAAGUUUAUUUUAUUCAAAUUAAUUGUUUAUUUUGCAUG